This 62-nucleotide non-coding RNA is filed under the name fish gut metagenome. Its description in RNAcentral is "pemK RNA". It matches the Rfam family "pemK RNA". The record is from RNAcentral.
AUAAUGAUACUUCCGUCCACAAGGCGGCUCGGAGAGAUCCUCGGAGGGGUUGGAUUCCCAUG